UUUUAAUUACGAAUUUCAGAUUGCCCUCUCUUGUGCUUCCGUUUCUCAUUUGGGCUUUUGCUCUCUCCCUCCUGCUCGUCGCCGAAAUCGCCAUGGCUCCCGCCUCCCGCCCGCCGACGGCGACGCCGCUGGCCGCAUCCUCGUCCCGGAUAGAUUCGCCAUCGCUGAAGGCAGCCCUCGCAAUGGCUCUCAUCCACUACAAACGCCUCCCCUCGACAACCGCCGCCUCCGUGGGCACCUCCUCCCCGCCUCUUAUCCACUGGAAGCGCAAGGCUAAGGAGCGGAAGCGCGAGAUCCUCCGCCUCCGCGAAGAGCUCAAGCUCCUCCAAGAUGGGGUGCGCGGGGAGGCGAUGGAGCCGCCGGUUGCGUCAUGCCGCUGCCACUUCUUCGACGGGUGCAGCGACCUGCAGCCGCCGCCGCCAACGGGUGGAGGAGAGCAUUGGGUCGACGAGGUGCUGCGGAGGAGGUUCCUCAGAUUGGCGCGGUGGAAGGAGAAGCGACGGAGACUGGAUCGAUCUCUUCCCGUCACUAGUUUGAUGGAGUUCAAUAGCGAGGAUGAGAUACAACAGCUUAGCUUGUCUACUGACUUCCUGGUGGAGCUAUCAGAUGGGAUUUUUGCGAAAAGAGAAUCUUGCUCCACAUUUGCUACAUUCUCUCACCAAGCAGUAAAUUUCAUUUUGUCUUUACUGAAGAACAUUCUAUUGUCGAAAAGGGAAAAGGAACUGGUUGAGGAGAUAAUUGAUGGUUUAGUGACACGUUUGAUGAAAAGGAUGUGUACCAUUCCUGAAAAUGCUGGUACUUCAGAUUCAGGGCCAGUUGACUGCUCAGAUGCCCAAUUCAAUGUGCAGCACUUGUUCCGCAAGUUAGGAAAUGAAGAAUUCAUUGGUCAGCGGAUAAUCCUUGCAGUUUCUCAAAAGAUCUCAAAUGUAUCAGAAAGCUUGCUUCUCUUAGAUCCGUUUGAUGAUUCCUUCCCUGAUAUGCAUGGCAAUAUGUUCAUUAUGAUUCAAUUAAUCGACUUCCUCAUAUCUGAUUACAUGAAAAUUUGGCUAUGUUGCGAGCAAUUUGACAAAAAAAUAUUUGAAGAAUGGGUCAGAUCUAUUCUGAAGGCACGCAAAGACCUGGAAGUCGUAGAAAACAUAAAUGGGCUGUAUGUAGUGUACAUUGAGCGAGUGGUUGGAAGGUUGGCGAGGGAGGUGGCUCCUGCUGCUCACCAGGGAAAGCUGGACCUGGAUGUCUUUUCCAAACUCCUGUGCUGAUCACUUCCAGCCUCAGACUUGAAAAUGAUGCUUACCUACAGAAAGAUUGUCCAGAAAGCUGGCAUUCUGUAACAUCUGUUCGCCACUGAACAGCCAGAACCAAGACAUAACCAAAGAAUGUUUAGUUAUUUCAUCUUUAACACUGACGGUGCUUUGCCAUUCUGAAGCCAUCUGUCAACUAAUGGGGCUGGCUAGAUAUGUUCCGAAUUGCUAGCGCCAAUUCUGUUUCAGUAACAUAGCGAGGACAGCAAGCGGCAUGAAAGAUAUGCAGGGGAAUAAUGUGAGCAUGCUUAAAUAGUAUUAGGUUGGAGACACAAAAAGUUUGGACAUGAGUAGAAAUGCUUCCGCUCUUGUUUUGGGGAAGAAUGAAGUUUCACUCCUCACCCUAAGGCAAACAGAUGAACCCUAGCAAGCUUUAUUGUUCAAAUCAGUGUUUGAGGAGUUACAUCACCUUUCUAGCCGGCCUUCUGUUGACACCCUCGUCGGUAGAAUCAAAGAUGAGGCCAGGCUUUGGGCUAGGGCAGGUGCCACCGGGCUUAGAACUGCCCCACCGACACCAUGGGACCGUGGGCCGUGCAUUAUUCUUGCUCCUUGCUUGUAGCCUCUUAGGAGGGCUGUAACCUUUGCGUUUUCUCAAAA
RNA transcript from Triticum aestivum (bread wheat), 1895 nucleotides. It is a transcript of the gene named protein MULTIPOLAR SPINDLE 1, with no coding region annotated. NCBI's taxonomy places the organism in Eukaryota, Viridiplantae, Streptophyta, Magnoliopsida, Poales, Poaceae. The transcript is spliced from 12 exons. The record is from RefSeq and is a predicted model, not a curated record.